CGUACUUUUUAUGUUGAUGAAUUUUUUUUUUUCAUUUAAAAAGUGUUGGUUUUAACAAUAAUCUCUGACGAUAAAUAAAAACAAAUAAUAUAUUAAAUCAGUGGUUACGACUGUGGUUGUAUUGUAAAGUGCCAAACGUCAUGAUUCAAUAAAAUCAUUUGAUUGAAAUGUUUUAUCGAAGACCAGUAGUGGUGGGGGAGAUGUCUAUGAUAACUAUUCCUCAUAACAACAGGUGCCAUGUAAAGCGAAAAGAAAUUGAAAAAGCUGUUCCUAUAGGGUGACUGACUGCUUAAGGUGAUGACUACUGAAGUGAAAUCUUGUUACAUCAAAAGAAAAAAAAAAAAGACCUUAAGUCAUUAGUUGGAUGUAACUCCAAAGUCUGGUUGCAGAAAAUCUCUCUAUAGCCAGCAAGCAUAAUAAAAUAACAAAAAAACUGUCAGGUAUUCUUUGUUGCUGUGUGUGCCAGAGGAUGAGGAUUGCAAUGAGUGAUGACAAGUGAAAGACUUGUCCAACCUAU
Long non-coding RNA from Octopus bimaculoides (California two-spot octopus), 517 nucleotides. The record is from RefSeq and is a predicted model, not a curated record. NCBI's taxonomy places the organism in Eukaryota, Metazoa, Mollusca, Cephalopoda, Octopoda, Octopodidae.